This 84-nucleotide transfer RNA is filed under the name Burkholderia cenocepacia. RNAcentral describes it as "tRNA-Trp". The stretch from base 8 to 63 matches the Rfam family "tRNA", at positions 8 to 63 of the family's 71-position model. Rfam says of the family: Transfer RNA (tRNA) molecules are approximately 80 nucleotides in length. Their secondary structure includes four short double-helical elements and three loops (D, anti-codon, and T loops). The record is from RNAcentral. Lineage: Bacteria; Pseudomonadati; Pseudomonadota; Betaproteobacteria; Burkholderiales; Burkholderiaceae.
GCCUCCUUAGCUCAGUUGGUAGAGCACCGGUCUCCAAAACCGGCCGCGGCGGUUUGAACCGCCCCGAGUUUUGUGGAGGCUCCA